This 489-nucleotide ribosomal RNA is filed under the name uncultured bacterium. RNAcentral's name for it is "partial 16S ribosomal RNA". It matches the Rfam family "Bacterial small subunit ribosomal RNA", at positions 30 to 507 of the family's 1533-position model. The record is from RNAcentral.
UUGAACGCUGGCGGCAGGCCUAACACAUGCAAGUCGAACGGUAACAGGAAACAGCUUGCUGUUUCGCUGACGAGUGGCGGACGGGUGAGUAAUGUCUGGGAAACUGCCUGAUGGAGUGGGAUAACUACUGGAAACGGUAGCUAAUACCGCAUAACGUCGCAAGACCAAAGAGGGGGACCCUCGGGCCUCUUGCCAUCGGAUGUGCCCAGAUGGGAUUAGCUUGUUGGUGGGGUAACGGCUCACCAAGGCGACGAUCCCUAGCUGGUCUGAGAGGAUGACCAGCCACACUGGAACUGAGACACGGUCCAGACUCCUACGGGAGGCAGCAGUGGGGAAUAUUGCACAAUGGGCGCAAGCCUGAUGCAGCCAUGCCGCGUGUAUGAAGAAGGCCUUCGGGUUGUAAAGUACUUUCAGCGGGGAGGAAGGGAGUAAAGUUAAUACCUUUGCUCAUUGACGUUACCCGCAGAAGAAGCACCGGCUAACUCCGUG